ACGGUCCUAAGGUAGCGAAAUUCCUUGUCGGGUAAGUUCCGACCUGCACGAAUGGCGUAAUGAUGGCCAGGCUGUCUCCACCCGAGACUCAGUGAAAUUGAACUCGCUGUGAAGAUGCAGUGUACCCGCGGCAAGACGGAAAGACCCCGUGAACCUUUACUAUAGCUUGACACUGAACAUUGAGCCUUGAUGUGUAGGAUAGGUGGGAGGCUUUGAAGCGUGGACGCCAGUCUGCGUGGAGCCAACCUUGAAAUACCACCCUUUAAUGUUUGAUGUUCUAACGUUGGCCCCUGACCGGGGUUGCGGACAGUGUCUGGUGGGUAGUUUGACUGGGGCGGUCUCCUCCCAAAGCGUAACGGAGGAGCACGAAGGUUAGCUAAUCCUGGUCGGACAUCAGGAGGUUAGUGCAAUGGCAUAAGCUAGCUUGACUGCGAGCGUGACGGCGCGAGCAGGUGCGAAAGCAGGUCAUAGUGAUCCGGUGGUUCUGAAUGGAAGGGCCAUCGCUCAACGGAUAAAAGGUACUCCGGGGAUAACAGGCUGAUACCGCCCAAGAGUUCAUAUCGACGGCGGUGUUUGGCACCUCGAUGUCGGCUCAUCACAUCCUGGGGCUGAAGUAGGUCCCAAGGGUAUGGCUGUUCGCCAUUUAAAGUGGUACGCGAGCUGGGUUUAGAACGUCGUGAGACAGUUCGGUCCCUAUCUGCCGUGGGCGCUGGAGAAUUGAGGGGGGCUGCUCCUAGUACGAGAGGACCGGAGUGGACGCAUCACUGGUGUUCGGGUUGUCAUGCCAAUGGCACUGCCCGGUAGCUAAAUGCGGAAGAGAUAAGUGCUGAAAGCAUCUAAGCACGAAACUUGCCCCGAGAUGAGUUCUCCCUGAGACUUUAAGUCUCCUGAAGGAACGUUAAAGACGAUGACGUUGAUAGGCCGGGUGUGUAAGCGCAGCGAUGCGUUGAGCUAACCGGUACUAAUGAACCGUGAGGCUUAACCUU
This 986-nucleotide ribosomal RNA is filed under the name human gut metagenome. Its description in RNAcentral is "bacterial LSU rRNA". It matches the Rfam family "Bacterial large subunit ribosomal RNA", at positions 1945 to 2925 of the family's 2925-position model. The record is from RNAcentral.